GAUGAACGCUGGCGGCGUGCCUAAUACAUGCAAGUCGAGCGAACGGACGAGAAGCUUGCUUUUCUGAUGUUAGCGGCGGACGGGUGAGUAACACGUGGAUAACCUACCUAUAAGACUGGGAUAACUUCGGGAAACCGGAGCUAAUACCGGAUAAUAUUUUGAACCGCAUGGUUCAAAGGUGAAAGACGGUCUUGCUGUCACUUAUAGAUGGAUCCGCGCUGCAUUAGCUAGUUGGUAAGGUAACGGCUUACCAAGGCAACGAUGCAUAGCCGACCUGAGAGGGUGAUCGGCCACACUGGAACUGAGACACGGUCCAGACUCCUACGGGAGGCAGCAGUAGGGAAUCUUCCGCAAUGGGCGAAAGCCUGACGGAGCAACGCCGCGUGAGUGAUGAAGGUCUUCGGAUCGUAAAACUCUGUUAUUAGGGAAGAACAUAUGUGUAAGUAACUGUGCACAUCUUGACGGUACCUAAUCAGAAAGCCACGGCUAACUACGUG
Molecule: ribosomal RNA, 497 nt
Filed under: uncultured bacterium
Lineage: Bacteria
Description: partial 16S ribosomal RNA
Rfam family: Bacterial small subunit ribosomal RNA
Source: RNAcentral